AGCGAACGCUGGCGGCAGGCUUAACACAUGCAAGUCGAACGGUCCUUCGGGAUAGUGGCGGACGGGUGAGUAACACGUGGGAACGUACCCUUAGGUUCGGCACAACACAGGGAAACUUGUGCUAAUACCGGAUAAGCCCUUCGGGGGAAAGAUUUAUCGCCUUUGGAGCGGCCCGCGUCUGAUUAGCUUGUUGGUGAGGUAAUGGCUCAUCAAGGCGACGAUCAGUAGCUGGUCUGAGAGGAUGGCCAGCCACACUGGGACUGAGACACGGCCCAGACUCCUACGGGAGGCAGCAGUGGGGAAUCUUGCGCAAUGGGCGAAAGCCUGACGCAGCCAUGCCGCGUGGAUGAUGAAGGUCUUAGGAUUGUAAAAUCCUUUCACCGGGGACGAUAAUGACGGUACCCGGAGAAGAAGCCCCGGCUAACUUCGUGCCAGCCGCCGCAGUAA
This 447-nucleotide ribosomal RNA is filed under the name uncultured bacterium. RNAcentral's name for it is "partial 16S ribosomal RNA". It matches the Rfam family "Bacterial small subunit ribosomal RNA", at positions 29 to 523 of the family's 1533-position model. The record is from RNAcentral.